RNAcentral lists this non-coding RNA (18 nucleotides) under Arabidopsis thaliana (thale cress). Lineage: Eukaryota; Viridiplantae; Streptophyta; Magnoliopsida; Brassicales; Brassicaceae. The record is from RNAcentral. RNAcentral also lists the same sequence under 2 other names.
GCGGGUAAACGGCGGGAG